This 305-nucleotide ribosomal RNA is filed under the name uncultured bacterium. RNAcentral's name for it is "bacterial SSU rRNA". It matches the Rfam family "Bacterial small subunit ribosomal RNA", at positions 335 to 632 of the family's 1533-position model. The record is from RNAcentral.
GUGCCUACGGGGGGCAGCAGUGGGGAAUAUUGCGCAAUGGGCGAAAGCCUGACGCAGCGACGCCGCGUGAGGGAUGAAGGUCUUCGGAUCGUAAACCUCUGUCAGCAGGGAAGAACGGUCACUGUGCUAAUCAGCAGUGAAUUGACGGUACCUGCAAAGGAAGCACCGGCUAACUCCGUGCCAGCAGCCGCGGUAAUACGGAGGGUGCGAGCGUUAAUCGGAAUUACUGGGUGUAAAGGGCGUGCAGCCGGGAGUGCAAGUCAGAUGUGAAAUCCCGCGGCUCAACCGCGGAACUGCAUUUGAAA